Pan troglodytes (chimpanzee) is the source of this 5125-nucleotide long non-coding RNA. RefSeq lists it as uncharacterized. The record is from RefSeq and is a predicted model, not a curated record. The transcript is spliced from 2 exons. Lineage: Eukaryota; Metazoa; Chordata; Mammalia; Primates; Hominidae.
UUUGAGACAGAGUUUUGCUUUGUUGCCCAGGCUGGAGUGCAGUGGCACAAUCUCGGCUCACUGCAACCUCUGCUUGCUGGGUUCAAGCAAUUCUUGUGCCUCAGCUGCUUGAGUAGCUGGGAUUACAGGUGCCUGCCACCAUGCCCGGCUGAUUUUUUUGUAUUUUAGUAGAGACGGGGUUUCACCACGUUGCCCAGGCUGGUCUUGAACUCCUGAGCUCAGGCAAUCCGCCUGUCUCGGUCUCCCAAAGUGCUAGGAUUACAGGCAUGAGCCACUGAGCCUGGCUGUGGUCCAUGUCUUUUAAUCUUUUUGAGGUCCAGAAUCCACCUUUUGAGGUCCAGACCCAUCCUUACAGAUGAUGAUACAAGCUCAUGAGGACACUUAGGAGAAGGCAGCUGUGGAAUGAUGGAAAGAGUUCCGGGUGAAAAGGCAGAAAGUCUGGGUUUCCAGUAGUUCUGAAUAGGUCCCUUGACUUCACUGAGCCUUUCUUUCUUCUGAGCCCAAUACUGGUGGGAGGAAGAAACGGAAUUAUAAUAUGAUGGAGGCGCCUGCUGCAGUGUCUCGCACAUAGGAGGCUCAGUAAAUAUUUGUUCCAACUAAAACUAAAGUUGAGUUCAUAGGAUUCCAUUCCCUGCAGUAAAAGAGCCAAUUUCUGUCUCAUUUCCUUUUUUCUAUUAAAACAAGGUUAUCUUUAUAUAUUCUUUCCUGUCCUGCAAGGACGCUUCUUGGCUUGGCUAUUCAGUGUGUUAUUUCUCCUAUGGCUGGACAGUAAGAGGCCCCAGCUGGCUUUCAGGGUCUUGACUGGACAACUUUUUUUAAGACUGUGGCUGAGAACCCUGUGUGCUAAUAGAGGGUAAGUCACACGUUGUACAGUGACAGUCCCAAGCACUGAUCUAUGUGGUCAGCGGAGGCGGCAGGGACUUUGUGGGGUUGAUGUUUCCUGUAGGACAUUUGAUGGUGAAGAAAAGAUCUCAGCCUCCAUCUUCCCACCAGCACUCAGGAUGCAAAGACCUAUCCCUCCAGCCCAGCAGGCCUUCCAGGAGGCCAGUGGGAGAGUAAAGAGUCAAGACAAAAAGCAGAGAAGGUGUCUGUAGCUGCUGCCGAGCCUAAGGCUUUACAGUAGGACGCUGCUGUGUGUACCAGCUUCAUGCCAGGCAUCAGCUAGGUCUGGGCUUUUCCAGGUUCUCCCACACGCUACUUUUAAUUCCUGCUAAAGUUACACCGGCAGAGGUGGUUCUGGAGGAAGACAGGCUGAUUGUGAAUUCUGGCCACUCUUCUGACUGUGCCUAACUUGGGUGUAUUUCUUAACCUCAGCCUACGUUAUUUCAUCUGUAAGAUUUCUCAUAUGGUCGUUGAGAAGAUAACAGGAGACUAUAUAAAGAAAACACCUAGUAAUCUCAGCACUUUAGGAGGCCAAGGCGGGUGGAUCACGAGAUCAGGAGAUUGAGACCAUCCUGGCGAACACGGUGAAACCCCGUCUCUACUAGAAAUACAAAAAAUUAGCCGAGCGUGUUGGCAUGCGCCUGUAAUCUCAGCUACUCAGGAGCCCGAGGCAGGAGACUCGCUUGAACCCGGGAGGCGGAGGUUGCAGUGAGCCGAGAUCGCACCACUGCACUCCAGCCUGGGCGAGAGAGCGAGACUCCAUCUCAAAAAAAAAAGGAAAGAAGGAAAGCACCUAGUAUAGGGGGGCAGGCACAUUGUUGCUCAGCAAGUGAUGCCCUUCUCUCUUCCCCCUUAAUUAAUGCAACAAAAUAUGCCAUGACCUCAGGAUACAUUGUAACUGGAUCUUCAGGGGUCCUUUCCCCUCUCAGAGAAAGGGGACGAUAGCAUCUCCUUCCUUUAGGUGGGGAAUUGAGGUCUAGUGACUUCCUUAGAAACACACAGCAAAAGGAGUAGUAAAAAGUGUUUUCAUGCUCUCUCCUCCUUCACAUCGGUCCCCAACUCUGGGUUGAGCUCAAAAGCAGGCUUUUCUUUGGCUAAUGAUGCUCAGAAUUACCCACUAGACAAGCUGUCUUCAUAAGGGAGCCAAAUGAGACAGGAAUAAGAACAGGAAAUACAUUUCAGAUUGUUAGAUUGAAGGGGAUAUCAGAGACAUCCGAUCUAACCUCCAUAUUUUACAGAAAAGGACACAAGCGCAGAGAGGAAUGGCAACGUGUCUAGGGCCACCUAGCUAGUUGGUAGCACAAAAGGUAUAAGAACCCCAGCCUGACUCUUCGUUCAGCGCUCUUGCCACUGUCUUGUGCUGACCUGCUGUGAUCCUGAGCAACCUCUCCCCGAAGGAAGAAGCCAUCAGGUUGGUGACCAGAUGUAUGCCUGGCUUCAUUCUCUAGCCAGACACCUUGUGAUUUUUCUGAAAACCCAGCAGCAUGUUUCCCUUUGUUGACAUGUAAGCACGUGGUAGAAAACACAGACCACCAAACCACAGACAGGAAUCUUCCUAUCUUCUUCCCAGCUGGACAAGGGCAGCUAGCUGUCCUCGGCUAGCAUAAGCACUCAUGUACUUUUCAUUCAUUCAGCCUCAAAAAUGUGUCUCCAGCCUGUAAGCCUGCAUUUGUUCCACCUCUGUGCAGCUGCUGUGUCCACUAUCAAGCUGGGCAGGACCUUAGAGUUCCUUUUGGUGUAACUUCCUCACUUUGUAGACUGAAUCCCAGCCAGGAGAUGUGCUAUCUCUGGGUCAAACUCAAGUUAGAGACAGAGUCAAGCUGGAAACCAGGUUGCCUAGCGACCAGCUCCAUUCUCCUUCUAGAGUGUGGAAGAUUACCACACAGAGUGACCCUGCCUCUUCCUAAAAGGUCAGGAAUGAGAAUAAAAAAACUCAUGGUGUCCGCUGGCAGAAACAGGUGGGACAGGGCCCAGGGAAGAGCUGGUUUUUAUUGUUGUUGUUGUUUUAGUAUUGGAUGAGACUCAGUAGAAGCCAUAAAAUAAAACUAAGAAGAAUCUAUGCGAGGCCUCAUUAUGCCACUGGUGUCCUGCCUGCAGGGAACUCAUUUAUUUUGUGGCUGAGAUGCUGGGAGCUGUCAGCAGCUGCUUGCAGCUGCUCAGUGAAAAGACUGAUGGCAGUGAUGGCCAGGCUGAGGAGAUGGGAGGGGAGGAGAAGCAUCCCCCGUCUUCCCACCUACCACAGGCACACGCACAGAUGCGUGACAUACGCUCAGAACAGUCUUGCAGCCUCUUGCAUUGAUGUGCACCUUUCCUGAUGACACUGUCCCAGGAAGUGGAGUGGGGGAUAUGCCAGCCAUGGCCUGAAACCAGUGUCCAAGAGGCAGUGGAGGAUGCUGGAUAGAGCAUGAGGUUCGACAUCAGGAGACCAGGAUGGAACCUCUCCCGUACUGUCACCUACUGAGUCAGCUUGAAUAAAUGACGAACCUCUCUGCGUCUCAGUUAUGUAUCUGGAGAAAAUAGGUAAGCUAGUGCUUUGUCAACUAAGGUUCUUUAUGAAUGUGAGGUAAGCAUGAUAAAGGAGUGUAGAUUGCAGGAACUGGCAGGACCUGACUUGAGUCGGUCAUGCUUCUCUGUACCCCGUGUUGUAGAGAAUCAAUCCAUUUCAAACUGGUGUGGAGCCCCAUGACAGACACAGCAGACACAGAGGGAACAGGAGCUGGGCCCAAGACUCGUGGUGGGGCCUCUCCCCUGACUUCCUGGAGGAUGAGCCCAGCACAAAGAUGGAUCCGAAAGACACUGUUCACUGGCUCACUCAGCCCUGUUCCUAAUACCCUCUCUUGCCUACCUCCACCAUAGAAGCUAAAAGGUCAAACAUCUGCUUUCCAGGCCUCCUUUGCCCCCAGGGAAGGACAUGUGACAGGAUUCUAGCCAACGAGUCUUAUCAAUGGAUAAGAGAAGUCAGCUAGGGAGCUUUGGGGAAAUAUUUGCUUUAUACUUUGUGCAAACCAGAACUGGAUUUAGUCUCUAACGGCUAAUUUUCUUAGGAUAUAUAAUGCACUCUUAAAUAACCAUAAAUCUAAGACAAAACACAGCCAUUGACCUGAUAAAGGCACAGGUGAAGAGCUAUUGAAUUUCAAGGGUGACUAUUUCUUCCUGUGUAGCGAUCAGGGACUGCUUCACGGAGGAGGGGGCAUUCGAGGUUGACACGACUUGAAUACCCAAGGCUGAGAGAUUCGGACAUGAUUCCCAGUCCCAAUCUCAGAUGCCCUUAGCUCCUUCACUCUUCCAAACCUCAUUAUGGGGAAUCUGAUGAUUCUUGCCAGGUGAUGUAAUAGCUCUGGUGAUGAUCAGAUAUCAUCCUGCCUCUUAAUGACAGAGCACCAUCUUCUGAAGCCCUUUAAAGAUACAGUCUAACUCAUGCCUCUGAAGUGAGCAGAGAUGGAUAAAGAAGCCACCUCAUAGACACAAAGGAACUUCCCAAAGUUCCAGAAUUGUUUGAGAAGAGAACCUGCCGAUCCUCUCAGCCAUGUAAUCCUUCUUGGAACACUCCCUCAUCUUCACCCACGUAGACUUGCACACCUACCCUCCAGAUGUGGUGGGAGACGCCUUUAUGUAACAUGAAUCUGUAUGAUGAAUUCUUGCUCAUAUUGAAGACAUGAAAUUCCUAUGUGUAGGAUAUGUACUUUGAGUUCAUUAUCCCUAAAAGCAAGUCAUGGAUAUGCUUAAGUUAUCUGAGUGCUUUCUCUGGAGACCAGUGGAAUGCUUCGGCGGAUGUGAAGAUCCAAUUAGAUAAUUUAUGUGAAUGUGCUUAGCAAACCACAGAACACUAAACAAAUAUAGAAAUUUUUUCGAGAAGAUAAUGAGGUUCUCUCUGGGACCUAUUGUAAUAUUUUCCAGCUUUUCUUGCCAAGAAGUUCCUUCUAUCACACCUAAAUUCCGUUGAACACAGCUUCAGCCAGCUUGGAAAUAGCCUUUCUGUUGGGACAUUUCCAAAUCCCAGGUUUAGAGGUUCUUCCAUCUGGCAGGUGUCAAAGAAGACAACAGGAACCAUGAGCAGAACCACUUGGAACUGCAAACUCUUUGGGCCAAGGACAGACUUCUUCUCCAGGUCUGGUUUGGUUCGCAAAUUCCUGGCUGUCAUAGCAACCUGAAAAGCAAAGGAAGACUGUUUAGUGUCGUCUUUGACUGCAGCCUGGGCUCGGAAUGCGCUCAGGUUGGCCCAGUAAACAGUGUUCACCGGUAA